CGUGCUAAUCUGCGAUAAGCGCCGGUAAGGUGAUAUGAACCGUUAUAACCGGCGAUUUCCGAAUGGGGAAACCCAGUGUGACUCGUCACACUAUCAUUAACUGAAUCCAUAGGUUAAUGAGGCGAACCGGGGGAACUGAAACAUCUAAGUACCCCGAGGAAAAGAAAUCAACCGAGAUUCCCCCAGUAGCGGCGAGCGAACGGGGAGGAGCCCAGAGCCUGAAUCAGCAUGUGUGUUAGUGGAAGCGUCUGGAAAGGCGCGCGAUACAGGGUGACAGCCCCGUACACAAAAGCGCAUGUGCUGUGAGCUCGAUGAGUAGGGCGGGACACGUGGUAUCCUGUCUGAAUAUGGGGGGACCAUCCUCCAAGGCUAAAUACUCCUGACUGACCGAUAGUGAACCAGUACCGUGAGGGAAAGGCGAAAAGAACCCCGGCGAGGGGAGUGAAAAAGAACCUGAAACCGUGUACGUACAAGCAGUGGGAGCCCCACCACUAAGCCAGUGGUGAACUCCACAUACGCAUCCUUUGCUGAGGAUACGGUUAACGGAGCGAAAGCGACGUUCAACCGCAAAAGAAGCAGAGGGGGCUUAGUGGUGGGGUGACUGCGUACCUUUUGUAUAAUGGGUCAGCGACUUAUAUUCUGUAGCAAGGUUAACCGAAUAGGGGAGCCGGAGGGAAACCGAGUCUUAAUUGGGCGUUAAGUUGCAGGGUAUAGACCCGAAACCCGGUGAUCUAGCCAUGGGCAGGUUGAAGGUUGGGUAACACUAACUGGAGGACCGAACCGACUAAUGUUGAAAAAUUAGCGGAUGACCUGUGGCUGGGGGUGAAAGGCCAAUCAAACCGGGAGAUAGCUGGUUCUCCCCGAAAGCUAUUUAGGUAGCGCCUCGUGAAUUCAUCUCCGGGGGUAGAGCACUGUUUCGGCUAGGGGGCCAUCCCGGCUUACCAACCCGAUGCAAACUGCGAAUACCGGAGAAUGUUAUCACGGGAGACACACGGCGGGUGCUAACGUCCGUCGUGAAGAGGGAAACAACCCAGACCGCCAGCUAAGGUCCCAAAGUCAUGGUUAAGUGGGAAACGAUGUGGGAAGGCCCAGACAGCCAGGAUGUUGGCUUAGAAGCAGCCAUCAUUUAAAGAAAGCGUAAUAGCUCACUGGUCGAGUCGGCCUGCGCGGAAGAUGUAACGGGGCUAAACCAUGCACCGAAGCUGCGGCAGCGACGCUUAUGCGUUGUUGGGUAGGGGAGCGUUCUGUAAGCCUGUGAAGGUGGCCUGUGAGGGUUGCUGGAGGUAUCAGAAGUGCGAAUGCUGACAUAAGUAACGAUAAAGCGGGUGAAAAGCCCGCUCGCCGGAAGACCAAGGGUUCCUGUCCAACGUUAAUCGGGGCAGGGUGAGUCGACCCCUAAGGCGAGGCCGAAAGGCGUAGUCGAUGGGAAACGGGUUAAUAUUCCCGUACUUGGUGUUACUGCGAAGGGGGGACGGAGAAGGCUAUGUUGGCCGGGCGACGGUUGUCCCGGUUUAAGCGUGUAGGUGUGUGUUCCAGGUAAAUCCGGUUCACUUUAACACUGAGGCGUGACGACGAGGCACUACGGUGCUGAAGCAACAAAUGCCCUGCUUCCAGGAAAAGCCUCUAAGCAUCAGGUAACAUCAAAUCGUACCCCAAACCGACACAGGUGGUCAGGUAGAGAAUACCAAGGCGCUUGAGAGAACUCGGGUGAAGGAACUAGGCAAAAUGGUGCCGUAACUUCGGGAGAAGGCACGCUGACACGUAGGUGAAGUGAUUUACUCACGGAGCUGAAGUCAGUCGAAGAUACCAGCUGGCUGCAACUGUUUAUUAAAAACACAGCACUGUGCAAACACGAAAGUGGACGUAUACGGUGUGACGCCUGCCCGGUGCCGGAAGGUUAAUUGAUGGGGUCAGCGCAAGCGAAGCUCCUGAUCGAAGCCCCGGUAAACGGCGGCCGUAACUAUAACGGUCCUAAGGUAGCGAAAUUCCUUGUCGGGUAAGUUCCGACCUGCACGAAUGGCGUAAUGAUGGCCAGGCUGUCUCCACCCGAGACUCAGUGAAAUUGAACUCGCUGUGAAGAUGCAGUGUACCCGCGGCAAGACGGAAAGACCCCGUGAACCUUUACUAUAGCUUGACACUGAACAUUGAGCCUUGAUGUGUAGGAUAGGUGGGAGGCUUUGAAGUGUGGACGCCAGUCUGCAUGGAGCCGACCUUGAAAUACCACCCUUUAAUGUUUGAUGUUCUAACGUGGACCCGUGAUCCGGGUUGCGGACAGUGUCUGGUGGGUAGUUUGACUGGGGCGGUCUCCUCCUAAAGAGUAACGGAGGAGCACGAAGGUUGGCUAAUCCUGGUCGGACAUCAGGAGGUUAGUGCAAUGGCAUAAGCCAGCUUGACUGCGAGCGUGACGGCGCGAGCAGGUGCGAAAGCAGGUCAUAGUGAUCCGGUGGUUCUGAAUGGAAGGGCCAUCGCUCAACGGAUAAAAGGUACUCCGGGGAUAACAGGCUGAUACCGCCCAAGAGUUCAUAUCGACGGCGGUGUUUGGCACCUCGAUGUCGGCUCAUCACAUCCUGGGGCUGAAGUAGGUCCCAAGGGUAUGGCUGUUCGCCAUUUAAAGUGGUACGCGAGCUGGGUUUAGAACGUCGUGAGACAGUUCGGUCCCUAUCUGCCGUGGGCGCUGGAGAACUGAGGGGGGCUGCUCCUAGUACGAGAGGACCGGAGUGGACGCAUCACUGGUGUUCGGGUUGUCAUGCCAAUGGCACUGCCCGGUAGCUAAAUGCGGAAGAGAUAAGUGCUGAAAGCAUCUAAGCACGAAACUUGCCCCGAGAUGAGUUCUCCCUGAGACUUUAGGUCUCCUGAAGGAACGUUGAAGACGACGACGUUGAUAGGCCGGGUGUGUAAGCGCAGCGAUGCGUUGAGCUAACCGGUACUAAUGAACCGUGAGGCUUAACCUUACA
RNAcentral lists this ribosomal RNA (2954 nucleotides) under Salmonella enterica. RNAcentral's name for it is "partial 23S ribosomal RNA". It matches the Rfam family "Bacterial large subunit ribosomal RNA". The record is from RNAcentral. Lineage: Bacteria; Pseudomonadati; Pseudomonadota; Gammaproteobacteria; Enterobacterales; Enterobacteriaceae.